GCCGGUGUAGCUCAGUUGGCAGAGCAACGCACUCGUAAUGCGUAGGUCGGUGGUUCGAGUCCACUCACCGGCACCA
This 76-nucleotide transfer RNA is filed under the name Halomonas elongata. Its description in RNAcentral is "tRNA-Thr". It matches the Rfam family "tRNA". Rfam says of the family: Transfer RNA (tRNA) molecules are approximately 80 nucleotides in length. Their secondary structure includes four short double-helical elements and three loops (D, anti-codon, and T loops). Further hydrogen bonds mediate the characteristic L-shaped molecular structure. tRNAs have two regions of fundamental functional importance: the anti-codon, which is responsible for specific mRNA codon recognition, and the 3' end, to which the tRNAs corresponding amino acid is attached (by aminoacyl-tRNA synthetases). tRNAs cope with the degeneracy of the genetic code in two manners: having more than one tRNA (with a specific anti-codon) for a particular amino acid; and 'wobble' base-pairing, i.e. permitting non-standard base-pairing at the 3rd anti-codon position. Lineage: Bacteria; Pseudomonadati; Pseudomonadota; Gammaproteobacteria; Oceanospirillales; Halomonadaceae. The record is from RNAcentral.